UCACCAAAAAUGUAAUCUUGAAUUAAAUCUAACACUUCGGCAGUACCUUCACUGCCCACUAGAUGUCGCUCUGAGGCCAAGCAAUGGUUGAGAAUAGCUGCAAUAUAUGACUAGUAUAACAUUAAUUACAAUUGGACAAUACAACAGUUCAAAAGAUACACAACCAACAUUUAUAUUGUUUUGUUUUGUUCCGUCAUUAAAUCCAGGUGCAAGAAAAAUGUUCUACAAAUGUUCUCAGUACUAACUUGUCCACUUGACCAACAAUCAUGCACAACCAUGAGAGCAACAGUUUGAAAGUUUGCUGUAUAACCUCAAGCUUCUUUACAAUGUCACGUCCCAUCCAGGCUGUGAUUGGUUCCAAAUGACCUGACUUCACCAUCUAUUUUGUGUCAAGUGGCCCAGCAGGAAAAGUCCCGGUGCUCGCGAUGGCCGAGUUAAGCAUCCGAGGCUUCAGCACUUUUAUCUGCUCUCUGACAGACUCUUGAGGCUGAUGUACAGGGAGGUGACCAUGGUGGUCUCCUCCUGGAGGGACUCCUUCAGAUUGGACUGACCCGCACACAUCAGAG
Cottoperca gobio is the source of this 566-nucleotide long non-coding RNA. RefSeq lists it as uncharacterized. NCBI's taxonomy places the organism in Eukaryota, Metazoa, Chordata, Actinopteri, Perciformes, Bovichtidae. The record is from RefSeq and is a predicted model, not a curated record. The transcript is spliced from 3 exons.